This is a long non-coding RNA of Micropterus dolomieu (smallmouth bass), 1100 nucleotides long. RefSeq lists it as uncharacterized. Lineage: Eukaryota; Metazoa; Chordata; Actinopteri; Centrarchiformes; Centrarchidae. The transcript is spliced from 2 exons. The record is from RefSeq and is a predicted model, not a curated record.
GCAUCAUCUUAUCUUAGCUCAUGGUAUCUUAUUACCCUACCAGAGCACUGCGCUCCCUGAAUGCAGGGUUACUUGUGGUUCCUAGAGUCUCCAAAAGUAGAAUGGGAGCCAGAGCGUUCAGCUAUCAAGCUCCUCUCCUGUGGAACCAGGUUCCAGUUUGGGUUCAGGAGGCAGACACCAUCUCCACAUUUAAUAUUUUGUGCUUUCUUGUCCCUCUCCUCUCUCCUUCUGUCGUUAUCUGCAGGCGUUUCUGGCUCCGGAGCUGUGGAGUCUCGUUCUGUGGUUGCAAGUUGCCUGCUGCCUCCUGGUUCCUGCUCAACACCCGCUGCUACAAUUAUUAUUACUAUUAGCCCUAUUAAUUCAAUCAGGAUUAAUUUUAUUGUUGAACAAUUACAAUGCUCUCAGUUAAUCAAGGAUGAAAAAAUAUCAUAUUUUUCUUUAUUGCAUCUCCAUUUAGUCUGUAAUGGUAAAAUAAAUAUGUUAAUUUACAGUGGAUUUAUAUUCUUUAGCUUCUGACCUCUACCAGUUAUGUAUCUAGGCCAAAUGGUUGAGGAGAUUAAUUUUAGGUAUGUUAUUUCAGGUGUUUUUUCCUGGAAAAAGGUAGCAGUUUCCAACAGGAGUGUAACAACACAAAAUGAUAAUUAAAUAAAAACUUUGGCCUUCAAAAAAUAUUUGAAAAAAAAAAGUGCCAUGAGCCAUUGAAUCAACUUUCGCUGAAGCAGCAACCUCAGUUUAAUCCACAUGGCUGCUCUUUUUUGCUUUUGCAAAAUCAACAAAAUGUCAACAGGCAGAACUUAAUUGAUUCUACCGAUGCGUUUGAUGACAAAACCAAUGUUGGAUCGAGCAUUUAGGAUUUCCUAACCUGAGAUAAGAAUGGAUGAAGUAAGAUAAGAUAGGAUUCCUAAAGUUAGCAAGCACUUGGACACGGAGGAAAGGACAAAUUCACAAAUUCAAGACUCAGGGUGGGCAAGUUCCACAUAGACAUGUAAAGUACACUGCAUGUACAAUUAUUUGGCAAGUAAGUAUUCUGAAUGAAUAAUUAUUUCUAUGCACAUUUUCCGACUCCAAACCAAAUAAAUUUGAAUGCUCUUUGGAGUUAA